RNAcentral lists this small RNA (281 nucleotides) under Drosophila virilis. Its description in RNAcentral is "GJ27131". Lineage: Eukaryota; Metazoa; Arthropoda; Insecta; Diptera; Drosophilidae. The record is from RNAcentral.
CAAAUACAAUAAAAAAAAAAAGAAAGAAAAGAAUAAUAAUUCAACGGCUCGGCAACGCAAAGCAACAGCAAAAAUUAUAAAAUAUUUUACGCCUGCUGUUUUGAGUUGAGUCUUCUAUGAAGUAAAGAAACGGUGAACGAAAGAACAACAACAAAUAGAAAAGUGAGAGCAGACGUAUUUUUUUUUAUUGUUAAGCGAAAAAGUGUUGGUGUGUGUCGAGAGUAAGAUAGAGAGGGCGUGAGAUACACACAUCCAAAAAAAAAAAAAAAAGGAGGAACACA